CACUCCUGCGGGAGCAGCAGUGGGGAAUUUUGGACAAUGGGCGAAAGCCUGAUCCAGCAAUGCCGCGUGAGUGAAGAAGGCCUUCGGGUUGUAAAGCUCUUUUGUCAGGGAAGAAACGGUGAAAGCUAAUAUCUUUUGCUAAUGACGGUACCUGAAGAAUAAGCACCGGCUAACUACGUGCCAGCAGCCGCGGUAAUACGUAGGGUGCAAGCGUUAAUCGGAAUUACUGGGCGUAAAGCGUGCGCAGGCGGUUUUGUAAGUCUGAUGUGAAAUCCCCGGGCUCAACCUGGGAAUUGCAUUGGAGACUGCAAGGCUAGAAUCUGGCAGAGGGGGGUAGAAUUCCACGUGUAGCAGUGAAAUGCGUAGAUAUGUGGAGGAACACCGAUGGCGAAGGCAGCCCCCUGGGUCAAGAUUGACGCUCAUGCACGAAAGCGUGGGGAGCAAACAGGAUUAGAUACCCCUGUAGUCCCAUGAU
RNAcentral lists this ribosomal RNA (475 nucleotides) under uncultured organism. RNAcentral's name for it is "partial 16S ribosomal RNA". It matches the Rfam family "Bacterial small subunit ribosomal RNA", at positions 334 to 801 of the family's 1533-position model. The record is from RNAcentral.